This 254-nucleotide ribosomal RNA is filed under the name uncultured bacterium. RNAcentral's name for it is "partial 16S ribosomal RNA". It matches the Rfam family "Bacterial small subunit ribosomal RNA", at positions 524 to 776 of the family's 1533-position model. The record is from RNAcentral.
UACGUAGGGGGCGAGCGUUGUCCGGAUUUAUUGGGCGUAAAGAGCUCGUAGGCGGUUCGAUAAGUCGGACGUGAAAUCUCCACGCUCAACGUGGAGGGGCCGUUCGAUACUGUCGUGACUCGAGUCCGGUAGGGGAGUGUGGAAUUCCCGGUGUAGCGGUGAAAUGCGCAGAUAUCGGGAGGAACACCGGUGGCGAAGGCGGUUCUCUGGGCCUUACCUGACGCUGAGGAGCGAAAGCGUGGGGAGCGAACAGG